Molecule: ribosomal RNA, 433 nt
Filed under: uncultured bacterium
Lineage: Bacteria
Description: partial 16S ribosomal RNA
Rfam family: Bacterial small subunit ribosomal RNA
Source: RNAcentral
AACGAACGCUGGCGGCAUGCCUAACACAUGCAAGUCGAACGAGACCUUCGGGUCUAGUGGCGCACGGGUGCGUAACGCGUGGGAACCUGCCCUUAGGUUCGGAAUAACUCCCCGAAAGGGGUGCUAAUACCGGAUAAUUUCUUCGGACCAAAGAUUUAUCGCCUUUGGAUGGGCCCGCGUUGGAUUAGCUAGUUGGUAGGGUAAAAGCCUACCAAGGCGACGAUCCAUAGCUGGUCUGAGAGGAUGAUCAGCCACACUGGGACUGAGACACGGCCCAGACUACUACGGGAGGCAGCAGUGGGGAAUAUUGGACAAUGGGCGAAAGCCUGAUCCAGCAAGGCCGCGUGAGUGAUGAAGGCCUUAGGGUUGUAAAGCUCUUUUACCCGGGAUGAUAAUGACAGUACCGGGAGAAUAAGCUCCGGCUAACUCCGUG